GAGAACUUUCUUGCAGCCUCCUACUUCAGGGAUCGUUUUUGAACCGAGAGAACGAUGCAGUAGGCUAAGGAAAACAAAGUUGGAGGGAGGUAUGGUUGUUUUUGGAACAGAAUACUUUUAUGAACUUGAUGAACUUGAUGGAAGUGAAGGACAAAGAAUAUGGAAGGCACUACAAUGAUUUGACUUCUUCGAGGUCUAAUUUGCUAGAUUUAUGAAGGGUGUGUAAAUUCUACUUAUACACACCUUGUGUACAAAUUGUAUGCAGGGUGUGUACAGAUCACGUGGUUUCAUGUCAUUGGAGCCUAGAUGUGAGCUAUGUUCGGAUUCCCCACUUAAUAAUUUCUUCACAAAAAGAUGAGUUAACUUGCAGAAACCACUGCUCUAACUCAUUUGAAAAUGAAACUAACAUUAAUUUUCAUCCUUUGUAUUUGGGAAGAUUUCAAGCAAAUUGUAGAUCUCAACUUUUGGAUGAGAAGGUGCUUGAGAAUUUUAAACCACAUAACCAUCUAAAGAAACUGAGGAUAAAUGUUUACUGGGUGCCAGGACUUCAAUAUUCACCUUGUUGUAGCACUUUUUGAGAACCUGUACCA
Long non-coding RNA from Dendrobium catenatum, 590 nucleotides. RefSeq lists it as uncharacterized. The record is from RefSeq and is a predicted model, not a curated record. The transcript has 2 exons. NCBI's taxonomy places the organism in Eukaryota, Viridiplantae, Streptophyta, Magnoliopsida, Asparagales, Orchidaceae.